RNAcentral lists this ribosomal RNA (217 nucleotides) under Kingella kingae. RNAcentral's name for it is "partial 16S ribosomal RNA". It matches the Rfam family "Bacterial small subunit ribosomal RNA", at positions 1 to 218 of the family's 1533-position model. The record is from RNAcentral. Lineage: Bacteria; Pseudomonadati; Pseudomonadota; Betaproteobacteria; Neisseriales; Neisseriaceae.
GAACAUAAGAGUUUGAUCCUGGCUCAGAUUGAACGCUGGCGGCAUGCUUUACACAUGCAAGUCGGACGGCAGCACGAGUACUUGUACUUGGUGGCGAGUGGCGAACGGGUGAGUAAUAUAUUGGAACGUACCGAGUAAUGGGGGAUAACUAUCCGAAAGGAUGGCUAAUACCGCAUACGCUUUGAGAAGGAAAGCAGGGGAUCUUCGGACCUUGCGU